RNAcentral lists this ribosomal RNA (254 nucleotides) under uncultured Gardnerella sp. RNAcentral describes it as "partial 16S ribosomal RNA". It matches the Rfam family "Bacterial small subunit ribosomal RNA", at positions 99 to 353 of the family's 1533-position model. The record is from RNAcentral. Lineage: Bacteria; Bacillati; Actinomycetota; Actinomycetes; Bifidobacteriales; Bifidobacteriaceae.
CGAACGGGUGAGUAAUGCGUGACCAACCUGCCCCAUGCUCCAGAAUAGCUCUUGGAAACGGGUGGUAAUGCUGGAUGCUCCAACUUGACGCAUGUCUUGUUGGGAAAGUGUUUAGUGGCAUGGGAUGGGGUCGCGUCCUAUCAGCUUGUAGGCGGGGUAAUGGCCCACCUAGGCUUCGACGGGUAGCCGGCCUGAGAGGGCGGACGGCCACAUUGGGACUGAGAUACGGCCCAGACUCCUACGGGGCAGCAACG